Molecule: long non-coding RNA, 345 nt
Organism: Syngnathoides biaculeatus (alligator pipefish)
Lineage: Eukaryota; Metazoa; Chordata; Actinopteri; Syngnathiformes; Syngnathidae
Exons: 3
Source: RefSeq, a predicted model, not a curated record
GCUGGAAAAGUGGAGACAUUGUCGAGGUCCGUGUGCGUCGUUGGGCGACCAUGUAUAUUGUGCGGUGUGAAUGAGUGUUACCAGAAGCUGCAUGGUGACCGUGUUCUUGAUCUUGCAGAGUUUUGACAGGCGGUGCUAAAAAGCUGCAUGUGACACGAGAGCCACGGGUCGUCCAAUCCUGGUCGAGUGGCGUGAUUAAAAAAAAAAUGUCAAGAGGAUGGUGUGUAAAGUACCACAAACCAGAAAAGUCAGACAUUUGGAUUCACACGAGUAUGAAAUGGAUUCCCUCAGGAAAAUAAAAGAUUCACAUUGACCACAACUGCCAGAGGGCAAACAUGCAGUAGG